Molecule: unclassified non-coding RNA, 332 nt
Filed under: Conocybe semiglobata
Lineage: Eukaryota; Fungi; Basidiomycota; Agaricomycetes; Agaricales; Bolbitiaceae
Description: partial internal transcribed spacer region
Rfam family: Eukaryotic small subunit ribosomal RNA (bases 1-46)
Source: RNAcentral
AAGUCGUAACAAGGUUUCCGUAGGUGAACCUGCGGAAGGAUCAUUACAGAAUAAACCUGAUGAGUUGUAGCUGGUCCACUCUUGUGGGCAAGUGCUCACUUGUCAUUUUUAUCCAUCCACCAUGUGCACUAUGCAUGGGUCUGAAGAAUAUUUUAUUCAGUCAGAGCUUGCUUUGAUUGUUGGGAAUCUGCUAUUGCAACAGAUGGCUUUUUCUGACUUCAGUACCUAUGAUUUAUUUAAAUACACCAAUGUAUGUUUUAAGAACGCUUCACUAGGCCCACAAAGCCUAUAAAUUUAUUAUACAACUUUCAGCAACGGAUCUCUUGGCUCUC